Molecule: ribosomal RNA, 204 nt
Filed under: uncultured bacterium
Lineage: Bacteria
Description: partial 16S ribosomal RNA
Rfam family: Bacterial small subunit ribosomal RNA
Source: RNAcentral
GCAGGCUGCAACCCGCCCUGUAUGAAGUUGGAAUCGCUAGUAAUCGCGGAUCAGCAUGCCGCGGUGAAUACGUUCCCGGGCCUUGUACACACCGCCCGUCACACCAUGGGAGUCGGGAAUGCCCGAAGUCAGUGACCCCAACCGGAACGGAGGGAGCUGCCGAAGGCAGGCUCGAUAACUGGGGUGAAGUCGUAACAAGGUACC